UACAGAGGGUGCAAGCGUUAAUCGGAAUUACUGGGCGUAAAGCGUGCGUAGACGGUUAUGUAAGUCAGAUGUGAAAGCCCCGGGCUCAACCUGGGAAUUGCAUUUGAGACUGCAUAGCUAGGGUGCGGAAGAGGGAAGCGGAAUUUCCGGUGUAGCGGUGAAAUGCGUAGAUAUCGGAAGGAACACCAGUGGCGAAAAGCGGCUUCCUGGUCCAGCACCGACGUCAGGCACGAAAGCGUGGGGAGCAAACAGGGA
RNAcentral lists this ribosomal RNA (255 nucleotides) under uncultured bacterium. RNAcentral describes it as "partial 16S ribosomal RNA". It matches the Rfam family "Bacterial small subunit ribosomal RNA", at positions 524 to 778 of the family's 1533-position model. The record is from RNAcentral.